GAUUUCCCACGUGUUAAUAUUUUGUACCUGUUUGGAUCAAUAGUUCUUGUUCUAGUGAACUCUUUUGGACUGAUGACAGAACUGAUCCUUCAAGCAGUGAAUGGUAAACGUGCAGUUGAGGAUCUAAGGAUGGUCGUUUUCCCCUCUGAAUGCCUUUUUAUCAUAGUUGGCAUGACUGUAGAAAUAUUCACUUUCUCGAGGUCUGUCAGCAAACAAAUGAAGCAAAAGAAAAACAAAGAUGAGGAAUAUAGAAAUAAUCAAGAACCCCAGAAAACAACAGAGUUUUGUGAGAUGGACCCUUUACCUGCAUUUGACCAUGAGGCAUCACCAACUAUCAGUAAUGUCAGAGACAGUCUCUAUUAAAUUCAUCUUGCAGCUUUGGUUUUGUAAAAAUGAAGUAUUUGUAAAAUUUGUAAAAAUGAAGUAUUCAGAACAAGUGUCUUUAGCAUAUAACUGCAAACAUUCAGAAAAUCUUUGAAUGUCAUAAAUUUAACUCUAUUAUAUAGCCUAUAUCAUAAUUUAUAGUGUAAUGUUCUCAUCCAGUAAUUUGUAGGGCUGGGAAAAUACAUUGAUUCUCGAUGAUUCCGGACCGAUUUUUUAACAUCAGAUGGCACUAUGUGCUUUAGAAACAGCCGUACUCUGCUUGCUUCCAGUUCCUUUACAUACACCACUUAUACCUAAAAUAAUCAUUCAUAAAGUUUGAAAAGGUUAAUGCGAUUAACAAGGGGGUUUGCAGUGGGCUGUGUUUACAUUAAUUUCGCAUCAUAAAAGAAUUCUGAGCCAAGGUGCACUUACAUGACUCAGCUGAAUGCACAAGCGCUCUCCAGUACUCUUUUCGUGAGCAUUUGAGUGUGCGGUUAAAAACUAGCCUAGAGCGCCAUCUGCUGUUAAGACUAAGCUCAGAAUCGAUUCAAGAGGGAAAAUAUCAGAAUCGAUCCAGAAUCAUUGUAUUGCAAAUCGAGAAUCGAUGUAUUGUCCCAGCCCUAAUUUGCUGUGAAAUUAUAAGCUAAGCUAUUAUAAACAGCAGACAGGACACAUACUUACCUUUGAGAAUGAGGUGUCAUUUACAUAAAUCAUGCACAUUCAAGGAGGUUUUUAUUUUGACAAGAUGCUGUGUUUAUGUGCUGUGGUUGUAUUUUUAUUAUUAUUAUUAUUAUUAUUAUUAUUAUUAUUAUCAUCUUCAUCAUCAUCUUUUUUUCUUCUUUUUGUCACUUUCUGACAACAUUUCAAAAAAUGUUGUGAUAUUUUGUAAGCUACCAUUUCCACUUUUUGCCUUUUUUUUUAAUGAAUAAUAUGUGACAGCUUAAAGGAUUAGUUCUCUUCUGAAUGAAAAUUUCCCGAUAAUUUACUCACCCCCAUGUCAUACAAGAUGUUUAUGUCUUUCUUUCUUCAGUCGAAUAGAAAUUAAGGUUUUUG
This is a long non-coding RNA of Ctenopharyngodon idella (grass carp), 1416 nucleotides long. RefSeq lists it as uncharacterized. The transcript is spliced from 5 exons. The record is from RefSeq and is a predicted model, not a curated record. Lineage: Eukaryota; Metazoa; Chordata; Actinopteri; Cypriniformes; Xenocyprididae.